CUAAAAUGAUGAUGCUCAGAAGGUUUCGCGAACUGGACUGAUGUCUGUGAUGUCACUUCCUCUUGGCUGUCUGAUUAG
This is a small nucleolar RNA of Synchiropus splendidus (mandarinfish), 78 nucleotides long. RefSeq annotates it as small nucleolar RNA SNORD53/SNORD92. The record is from RefSeq and is a predicted model, not a curated record. NCBI's taxonomy places the organism in Eukaryota, Metazoa, Chordata, Actinopteri, Syngnathiformes, Callionymidae. The transcript has a single exon.